RNAcentral lists this unclassified non-coding RNA (282 nucleotides) under uncultured fungus. RNAcentral's name for it is "sequence contains ITS1". The record is from RNAcentral. Lineage: Eukaryota; Fungi.
UUAAUUUCGUUUUAAAAAAUCGUAUCAGACUUCAGUAAUCCGCGUGGGUUUGCAAUGCCGACCCGCGGCCAACAGGCGGUACCUCGCUAAAUUAAUAGCGAGGGCGCCCGAGAGCCAAGGGCCGAAACGAUGUGAGUUGCUUUCGCGUCUCAUGACAAAGGGCGGGUGAGUGGACACGAGGUCCUAAACCCAGUAAUGAUCCUUCCGCAGGUUCACCUAUGAUGUUGUUAGUAUUUGUUGAUGAAUUAGAACGGGAUAUUUGAUAUUACUCACCUACGGAAA